GGAUCAGGUAGGAAUACCCGCUGAACUUAAGCAUA
RNAcentral lists this ribosomal RNA (35 nucleotides) under Colletotrichum sp. CR-17. RNAcentral's name for it is "partial 28S ribosomal RNA". The record is from RNAcentral. Lineage: Eukaryota; Fungi; Ascomycota; Sordariomycetes; Glomerellales; Glomerellaceae.